This 495-nucleotide ribosomal RNA is filed under the name uncultured bacterium. Its description in RNAcentral is "bacterial SSU rRNA". It matches the Rfam family "Bacterial small subunit ribosomal RNA", at positions 30 to 507 of the family's 1533-position model. The record is from RNAcentral.
UGAACGCUGGCGGCAUGCCUAAUACAUGCAAGUCGAACGAGGUCAAGGGAGAGCUUGCUCGAGAUGACCUAGUGGCGAACGGGUGAGUAACACGUGGGCAAUCUGCCCGUAUGUCGUGGAUAACGGUUGGAAACGACAGCUAAUACAGGAUGAGCAUCCCGAAGGCAUCUUUGGGAUGUAAAAGGGGCUUAGGCCCCGCAUACGGAUGAGCCUGCGGUGCAUUAGCUAGUUGGUGAGGUAACGGCCCACCAAGGCGAUGAUGCAUAGCCGACCUGAGAGGGUGACCGGCCACAUUGGGACUGAGACACGGCCCAAACUCCUACGGGAGGCAGCAGUAGGGAAUUUUCGUCAAUGGGGGGAACCCUGAACGAGCAAUGCCGCGUGAGUGAAGAAGGUCUUCGGAUCGUAAAGCUCUGUUGUAAGAGAAAAACGGUCUCCAUAGGAAAUGAUGGAGAAGUGAUGGUAUCUUACCAGAAAGCCACGGCUAACUACGUG